GAUGAACGCUGGCGGCGUGCCUAAUACAUGCAAGUCGAGCGAACAGACGAGGAGCUUGCUCCUCUGACGUUAGCGGCGGACGGGUGAGUAACACGUGGAUAACCUACCUAUAAGACUGGGAUAACUUCGGGAAACCGGAGCUAAUACCGGAUAAUAUAUUGAACCGCAUGGUUCAAUAGUGAAAGACGGUUUUGCUGUCACUUAUAGAUGGAUCCGCGCCGCAUUAGCUAGUUGGUAAGGUAACGGCUUACCAAGGCAACGAUGCGUAGCCGACCUGAGAGGGGGUUCGCCAACACGGAAACUGAACCACGGCCCAGACCCCAACGGAAGGAAGAGGAAGGAAACCUUCGCAAAUGGGGGAAACCUUGCCGAGCAAAGGCGCGUGAGGUGAGGAAGGCUUCCGAACGGUAAAACCUUGUUAUAGGGGAAAACAAAAUUUGUAGGUAACUAGGCACGUUUGAAGGUAACCAAAUAAGAAGGCACGGCUAACUACGUG
RNAcentral lists this ribosomal RNA (496 nucleotides) under uncultured bacterium. Its description in RNAcentral is "partial 16S ribosomal RNA". It matches the Rfam family "Bacterial small subunit ribosomal RNA", at positions 28 to 507 of the family's 1533-position model. The record is from RNAcentral.